AGGAUAGAGGUGCGGUAGACAAGAUUAGUCAUGGUGCCAAAGGCCUUGCAAGGGCCGUUGCCAUGGUGAAAGGGGAUACCGCCGAAAGAGAGAGCCUGCGACCCUCUCUUGGUUGAGCAGAGAACAUCUGUUUGACUGUCGCUGAUGCGGAGAGCUAUGU
RNAcentral lists this non-coding RNA (160 nucleotides) under bovine gut metagenome. RNAcentral describes it as "Lysine riboswitch". It matches the Rfam family "Lysine riboswitch aptamer". Rfam says of the family: Riboswitches are metabolite binding domains within certain messenger RNAs that serve as precision sensors for their corresponding targets. The record is from RNAcentral. RNAcentral also lists the same sequence under 1 other name.